UGGGGAAUUUUGGACAAUGGGCGAAAGCCUGAUCCAGCAAUGCCGCGUGUGUGAAGAAGGCCUUCGGGUUGUAAAGCACUUUUGUCCGGAAAGAAAUGGCUCUGGUUAAUACCUGGGGUCGAUGACGGUACCGGAAGAAUAAGGACCGGCUAACUACGUGCCAGCAGCCGCGGUAAUACGUAGGGUCCAAGCGUUAAUCGGAAUUACUUGGCGUAAAGCGUGCGCAGGCGGUUGUGCAAGACCGAUGUGAAAUCCCCGAGCUUAACUUGGGAAUUGCAUUGGUGACUGCACGGCUAGAGUGUGUCAGAGGGGGGUAGAAUUCCACGUGUAGCAGUGAAAUGCGUAGAGAUGUGGAGGAAUACCGAUGGCGAAGGCAGCCCCCUGGGAUAACACUGACGCUCAUGCACGAAAGCGUGGGGAGCAAACAGG
This 429-nucleotide ribosomal RNA is filed under the name Acidobacteriota bacterium. RNAcentral describes it as "Acidobacteria bacterium partial 16S ribosomal RNA". It matches the Rfam family "Bacterial small subunit ribosomal RNA", at positions 355 to 776 of the family's 1533-position model. The record is from RNAcentral. Lineage: Bacteria; Pseudomonadati; Acidobacteriota.